CCUACGGGAGGCUGCAGUGGGGAAUAUUGGACAAUGGGCGAAAGCCUGAUCCAGCCAUGCCGCGUGUGUGAAGAAGGCCUUCGGGUUGUAAAGCACUUUCAGUGGGGAAGAAAGCCUUGGGGCUAAUACCCUCGAGGAAGGACAUCACCCACAGAAGAAGCACCGGCUGAACUCCGUGCCAGCAGCCGCGGUAAUACGGAGGGUGCGAGCGUUAAUCGGAAUUACUGGGCGUAAAGCGCGCGUAGGCGGUCUGAUAAGCCGGUUGUGAAAGCCCCGGGCUCAACCUGGGAACGGCAUCCGGAACUGUCAGGCUAGAGUGCAGGAGAGGAAGGUAGAAUUCCCGGUGUAGCGGUGAAAUGCGUAGAGAUCGGGAGGAAUACCAGAGGCGAAGGCGGCCUUCUGGACUGACACUGACGCUGAGGUGCGAAAGCGUGGGUAGCAAACAGGAUUAGAUACCCCUGUAGUC
Molecule: ribosomal RNA, 466 nt
Filed under: Vreelandella stevensii
Lineage: Bacteria; Pseudomonadati; Pseudomonadota; Gammaproteobacteria; Oceanospirillales; Halomonadaceae
Description: partial 16S ribosomal RNA
Rfam family: Bacterial small subunit ribosomal RNA
Source: RNAcentral